ACUAUCAUUAACUGAAUCCAUAGGUUAAUGAGGCGAACCGGGGGAACUGAAACAUCUAAGUACCCCGAGGAAAAGAAAUCAACCGAGAUUCCCCCAGUAGCGGCGAGCGAACGGGGAGCAGCCCAGAGCCUGAAUCAGUGUGUGUGUUAGUGGAAGCGUCUGGAAAGGCGUGCGAUACAGGGUGACAGCCCCGUACACAAAAAUGCACAUACUGUGAGCUCGAUGAGUAGGGCGGGACACGUGGUAUCCUGUCUGAAUAUGGGGGGACCAUCCUCCAAGGCUAAAUACUCCUGACUGACCGAUAGUGAACCAGUACCGUGAGGGAAAGGCGAAAAGAACCCCGGCGAGGGGAGUGAAAAAGAACCUGAAACCGUGUACGUACAAGCAGUGGGAGCACGCUUAGGCGUGUGACUGCGUACCUUUUGUAUAAUGGGUCAGCGACUUAUAUUCUGUAGCAAGGUUAACCGAAUAGGGGAGCCGAAGGGAAACCGAGUCUUAACUGGGCGUUAAGUUGCAGGGUAUAGACCCGAAACCCGGUGAUCUAGCCAUGGGCAGGUUGAAGGUUGGGUAACACUAACUGGAGGACCGAACCGACUAAUGUUGAAAAAUUAGCGGAUGACUUGUGGCUGGGGGUGAAAGGCCAAUCAAACCGGGAGAUAGCUGGUUCUCCCCGAAAGCUAUUUAGGUAGCGCCUCGUGAAUUCAUCUCCGGGGGUAGAGCACUGUUUCGGCAAGGGGGUCAUCCCGACUUACCAACCCGAUGCAAACUGCGAAUACCGGAGAAUGUUAUUACGGGAGACACACGGCGGGUGCUAACGUCCGUCGUGAAGAGGGAAACAACCCAGACCGCCAGCUAAGGUCCCAAAGUCAUGGUUAAGUGGGAAACGAUGUGGGAAGGCCCAGACAGCCAGGAUGUUGGCUUAGAAGCAGCCAUCAUUUAAAGAAAGCGUAAUAGCUCACUGGUCGAGUCGGCCUGCGCGGAAGAUGUAACGGGGCUAAACCAUGCACCGAAGCUGCGGCAGCGACGCUUAUGCGUUGUUGGGUAGGGGAGCGUUCUGUAAGCCUGUGAAGGUGUGCUGUGAGGUAUGCUGGAGGUAUCAGAAGUGCGAAUGCUGACAUAAGUAACGAUAAAGCGGGUGAAAAGCCCGCUCGCCGGAAGACCAAGGGUUCCUGUCCAACGUUAAUCGGGGCAGGGUGAGUCGACCCCUAAGGCGAGGCCGAAAGGCGUAGUCGAUGGGAAACAGGUUAAUAUUCCUGUACUUGGUGUUACUGCGAAGGGGGGACGGAGAAGGCUAUGUUGGCCGGGCGACGGUUGUCCCGGUUUAAGCGUGUAGGCUGGUUUUCCAGGCAAAUCCGGAAAAUCAAGGCCGAGGCGUGAUGACGAGGCACUACGGUGCUGAAGCAACAAAUGCCCUGCUUCCAGGAAAAGCCUCUAAGCAUCAGGUAACAUCAAAUCGUACCCCAAACCGACACAGGUGGUCAGGUAGAGAAUACCAAGGCGCUUGAGAGAACUCGGGUGAAGGAACUAGGCAAAAUGGUGCCGUAACUUCGGGAGAAGGCACGCUGAUACGUAGGUGAAGCGACUUGCUCGUGGAGCUGAAAUCAGUCGAAGAUACCAGCUGGCUGCAACUGUUUAUUAAAAACACAGCACUGUGCAAACACGAAAGUGGACGUAUACGGUGUGACGCCUGCCCGGUGCCGGAAGGUUAAUUGAUGGGGUUAGCGCAAGCGAAGCUCUUGAUCGAAGCCCCGGUAAACGGCGGCCGUAACUAUAACGGUCCUAAGGUAGCGAAAUUCCUUGUCGGGUAAGUUCCGACCUGCACGAAUGGCGUAAUGAUGGCCAGGCUGUCUCCACCCGAGACUCAGUGAAAUUGAACUCGCUGUGAAGAUGCAGUGUACCCGCGGCAAGACGGAAAGACCCCGUGAACCUUUACUAUAGCUUGACACUGAACAUUGAGCCUUGAUGUGUAGGAUAGGUGGGAGGCUUUGAAGUGUGGACGCCAGUCUGCAUGGAGCCGACCUUGAAAUACCACCCUUUAAUGUUUGAUGUUCUAACGUGGACCCGUGAUCCGGGUUGCGGACAGUGUCUGGUGGGUAGUUUGACUGGGGCGGUCUCCUCCUAAAGAGUAACGGAGGAGCACGAAGGUUGGCUAAUCCUGGUCGGACAUCAGGAGGUUAGUGCAAUGGCAUAAGCCAGCUUGACUGCGAGCGUGACGGCGCGAGCAGGUGCGAAAGCAGGUCAUAGUGAUCCGGUGGUUCUGAAUGGAAGGGCCAUCGCUCAACGGAUAAAAGGUACUCCGGGGAUAACAGGCUGAUACCGCCCAAGAGUUCAUAUCGACGGCGGUGUUUGGCACCUCGAUGUCGGCUCAUCACAUCCUGGGGCUGAAGUAGGUCCCAAGGGUAUGGCUGUUCGCCAUUUAAAGUGGUACGCGAGCUGGGUUUAGAACGUCGUGAGACAGUUCGGUCCCUAUCUGCCGUGGGCGCUGGAGAACUGAGGGGGGCUGCUCCUAGUACGAGAGGACCGGAGUGGACGCAUCACUGGUGUUCGGGUUGUCAUGCCAAUGGCACUGCCCGGUAGCUAAAUGCGGAAGAGAUAAGUGCUGAAAGCAUCUAAGCACGAAACUUGCCCCGAGAUGAGUUCUCCCUGACCCUUUAAGGGUCCUGAAGGAACGUUGAAGACGACGACGUUGAUAGGCCGGGUGUGUAAGCGCAGCGAUGCGUUGAGCUAACCGGUACUAAUGAACCGUGAGGCUUAACCUUACAACGCCGAAG
RNAcentral lists this ribosomal RNA (2771 nucleotides) under Shigella flexneri. Its description in RNAcentral is "partial 23S ribosomal RNA". It matches the Rfam family "Bacterial large subunit ribosomal RNA". Lineage: Bacteria; Pseudomonadati; Pseudomonadota; Gammaproteobacteria; Enterobacterales; Enterobacteriaceae. The record is from RNAcentral.